ACGGAGGGUGCAAGCGUUAUCCGGAUUCACUGGGUUUAAAGGGUGCGUAGGCGGGCAGGUAAGUCAGUGGUGAAAUCCUGGAGCUUAACUCCAGAACUGCCAUUGAUACUAUCUGUCUUGAAUAUUGUGGAGGUAAGCGGAAUAUGUCAUGUAGCGGUGAAAUGCUUAGAUAUGACAUAGAACACCUAUUGCGAAGGCAGCUUACUACGCAUAUAUUGACGCUGAGGCACGAAAGCGUGGGGAUCAAACAGGAUUAGAUACCCUGGUAGUCCACGCCCUAAACGAUGGAUACUCGACAUACGCGAUACACUGUGUGUGUCUGAGCGAAAGCAUUAAGUAUCCCACCUGGGAAGUACGUCCGCAAGGAUG
This 369-nucleotide ribosomal RNA is filed under the name uncultured bacterium. RNAcentral describes it as "bacterial SSU rRNA". It matches the Rfam family "Bacterial small subunit ribosomal RNA", at positions 525 to 896 of the family's 1533-position model. The record is from RNAcentral.